CGGGGAAUCGAUUAGAGUUUGAUCAUGGCUCAGAACGAACGCUGGCGGCGCGUCUUAAGCAUGCAAGUCGAGCGGGAUUGGGUAGCUUGCUACUCAUGAGAGCGGCGGACUGGUGAGUUACGCGUGGGUGACGUACCCUUUAGACGGGGAUAGCUCCUAGAAAUAGGAGGUAAUACCGGAUACGAUAGUGAGUGUCAGAGACUCAUUAUGAAAGGUUCUUUUGAACCGCUGAAGGAGCGGCCCGCGUACUAUUAGCUAGUUGGUGAGGUAACGGCCCACCAAGGCGACGAUAGUUAUCCGGCCUGAGAGGGUGAACGGACACAUUGGGACUGAGAUACGGCCCAGACUCCUACGGGAGGCGGCAGCUAAGAAUAUUCCGCAAUGGGGGAAACCCUGACGGAGCGACGCCGCGUGGAUGAUGAAGGCCGGAAGGUUGUAAAAUCCUUUUAGAUAUGAGGAAUAAGCAGGGUGAGAGAAACGCCCUGUGGUGACUGUAGUAUCAGAAUAAGGGGCGGCUAAUUACGUGCCAGCAGCCGCGGUAACACGUAAGCCCCGAGCGUUGUUCGGAAUUAUUGGGCGUAAAGGGCAUGUAGGCGGCUUUGCAAGUCUGGUGUGAAAGGCAGGAGCUUAACUCCUGGACUGCGCUGGAAACUGCAUGGCUUGAGUCACUGAGGGGCAUCCGGAAUUCCUGGUGU
Molecule: ribosomal RNA, 695 nt
Filed under: uncultured bacterium
Lineage: Bacteria
Description: bacterial SSU rRNA
Rfam family: Bacterial small subunit ribosomal RNA
Source: RNAcentral